This 487-nucleotide ribosomal RNA is filed under the name uncultured bacterium. Its description in RNAcentral is "partial 16S ribosomal RNA". It matches the Rfam family "Bacterial small subunit ribosomal RNA", at positions 28 to 507 of the family's 1533-position model. The record is from RNAcentral.
GAUGAACGCUAGCGAUAGGCUUAACACAUGCAAGUCGAGGGGCAGCACAAGGUAGCUUGCUAUCUGGGUGGCGACCGGCGCACGGGUGCGUAACGCGUAUGCAACUUGCCCUAUACAGGAGGAUAACCCGUCGAAAGACGGACUAAUACUGCGUAUGCUCACAACUUGGCAUCAAGUGGUGAGGAAAGAAAUUCGGUAUAGGAUAGGCAUGCGUCCCAUUAGCUUGUUGGUGAGGUAACGGCUCACCAAGGCAACGAUGGGUAGGGGAACUGAGAGGUUUAUCCCCCACACUGGUGCUGAGACACGGACCAGACUCCUACGGGAGGCAGCAGUGAGGAAUAUUGGUCAAUGGGCGCGAGCCUGAACCAGCCAAGUCGCGUGAAGGAUGACUGUCUUAUGGAUUGUAAACUUCUUUUAUACGGGAAUAACAAGAGUCACGUGUGACUCCCUGCAUGUACCGGAUGAAUAAGCAUCGGCUAACUCCGUG